Molecule: long non-coding RNA, 830 nt
Organism: Micropterus salmoides (largemouth bass)
Lineage: Eukaryota; Metazoa; Chordata; Actinopteri; Centrarchiformes; Centrarchidae
Exons: 2
Source: RefSeq, a predicted model, not a curated record
GUUGUAACUUUCAACUGGAACGCCCCCUGAAGUCGGAUUUCUGACACGGGACAAAUGCACUACCACUACGUGAUCCAAGAUGGCUGUCGGGGUAUCAACAGUUAGUGAAAGCUGUAGUUUAUACUGUUAAUUAGCACUUCUUUGCACUUGUGACUCAUAGAAAGUGCUGUCCAACAGCUGUCUGUGGACGUGUUGCUACAGUGUUUAGUGUGUGUAAAUACCACAUAAUGCGUUUUUUUAAUCAACCGGCAUAUCAAUAGCUAACAAAGAGCUGGCUGAGCAGGUUUUCCGACUUGUUAACUGGAACGCCGUCAACUCGGGUGUGACGUCAUUCCCAGCUCUGACCUCCGACUUCCGCGGUAAAUGGGACGCUGCAGGAGUGCAGCAUCGGAUCCACUGUGGCAGCAACAGCAUGACGUGUGACGGCCCCUGCUUAGUCUACUUCUACCUGAUAUGGAGCACCUGGGCCCAGUACGCUACAGGAUAUAAAAGUCCCACCUUCCAUUGCGGCUGGCUCUCUCCCUGACAGCACCUGCACCUUACUGCUUUGUUGAACCAUUGUGUUUAUUUUUACUCCACACCUAAUCCCACAGUAUAUGAACACUACUUAUUUACUACUGUUACUAUCCAGGUUAAAUUAUCAUACUUAUUACAACUUUUACAAAUUUUCAUUUAUUUAAGUGUCUUAACUGUACAUUAUUACAAGUCAUACAAAACAACAAUUUUAACCUUUUUACUGCUGUUUUCAUGGAUGCAGGAUAGGACUUCAAUUUGUUCAGCUGUUUCUUGUUUAGUGUAAUCAUUUGUUAAAUAAAAUCAGGCAAGACUAA